GUACAAGCCUGACUUGUGAGAAUGUAUCGCAAAACUGUUGUUUUUUUGUUUUGGUAUUUUCGACUACGGUCACACUGUCCCUGUCUGCAAAAUAUUUUAAACAAAAAGUGCUUUUAAUUAAGUAAUUUUGCCAGCCAUUGUUUAUAUUUGUGAUGUUGUGAGGCUGUUUAACGGUUGUGCGACGACCUUGUUCGUUGAGAUAACGGGUUAUUGCAGUUUUUCGUGGCCUUAUAUCGCUAGCCCGCUCGCUCCAAGGCAUUCGGCAUCUUCGACCUUUUGCUUCUGCAUUUCCACACACUCCCGCACUUUACACACACAAUUAAUACAUUAUUUUUGCGCUGGCAUUAUAAGAAUCGAGAAUGUACGAGUGCUGAUAUUUUGGCAGCGGUUGCAACCCGCCCCAUAACCGAUUUGUGCAACAUGCGGCAGGUGGGGAAUGGUACUGCUGCUGCUCCUAUCGCAGAGUUCUUCUUCUUAUCUAAAAUCCAGCCAGGAAACAAAAACAACAAAGGACGCCACCAGCUGCAUGCCCACGCCCACGCCUACGACCACGCCUACGACCUUAGCACCACCCCCGCUGCCUACGCCUUUGUUUUCGAUUUAUAGUAGUCAUGCCAACAACAACAACAACAACAACAAUAACAACAGCAACUACAACAAAAAUCGAAGAAAAAAUUGCCGGAAUAAGGCAAGAAAAUUGCGAUACGCCAAUGGCGACUCCAACAAAAACAACAACAACAUCAACAACAACAACAACAAAGGCAAGGCAAGAAGAAGACCAAGAAGCUACUGUGGCACCGGCAGUAGCGGCAUAUACUGCCACCAAAACGGCAGCCAUCUCAAAGACAACAAUUAAAAAGGCCACCGAGGAUCAAGUGGCCCAACAGCCGACGGCGACGGCGACUGCGACUGCGACGCCAACGCUGCUGCCACUGCUUGCAUCGGCGGCUGCAUGCCACAAGCCGUUGCUCUUUUGUAGACGUUUCCAGGAUAAACGGAACUUUAGUUCACUUCCGCUAUUCGUUUAUGCCACAUCGCCGUCCACGCACGCCCACUCGGCCGACGGCGUGGGCGUGGCCAAGGAGGCAGCCGCUUUCAGCCACAAGAAUGAGGCCUUCGAUCUACCCGCAACGCAUGGCAUCAGCAAAACGGACGGAAGCUGCAUCAGCCACCACAGUCAAAGUAACGGGAACGGAAGCGGGAAUCAUCAUCACCAUCUCGUUGGACCCUUGCGCACCACUGACCUGGCCAGCGGGGCCAUGGAGUGCCUGCCGAUGAGCAGCGGUGCCCACCAUCCCCAUCUAAUGGCAAGCGCAGUGGCGGCAGCGGCGGCGGGAGGAGCUGUGACAGCGUCGCCCACAGCGACCGUGGUCGUAGGGGCCACAUACCCGCACCACCUGCACCACCACCACCAUCUUAGCCACCAUACGCCCUAUAGCAACAGCUACGGCAGCCAUCACAAUAUCCACAGCGAGCAGACCAAGUCGCUGCAGGAGCUGCAGCACGAGGUCGGUGCCCUGCUGGAGUUCCGGGAUCUGGUCAUCGAAACUUUUCCCGAUCUCAAGCACAAGAUGGCCUCCAUGUCCGCCACACCAUCGACACCCACCUCUUCGGUAGGGGCCAUGGGUGGCAGUCACUCGGUGGGUGGCGGUAGCUCCUCAUUAGCCACCAGCAGACGCGAAUGGGAGCCAGGCAUACGCAUGAAGCGAAAAUUGUCGCACAAGGAACCGUCCACGUCGUCGGCGACGGCAGCCAACUCCUCCUCGGGGGCGGAGGCUUCGUCCUCGUCGCUGACACGCAGCCGUAGCAACUCGCACAGCGGCAAAAAAGAGCCAAAGAGCGGAGAGAACAACAACGGGAGCGUUGUCCAAGACUCCGGCUUCUCAACGGAGACCAGUUCCUCCAAGGAGGGCCACAGUGCCUCCUCCACCAACGGUGCUAUGACGCAGGUGGCCAUAGCGGCGAAUCGCCUUAGUUGCGCGGAAUCCGAUGAUGAGCUGCUUAACCUGCUGGACGUUAUACACCGCAAGUCGAAUCGCUUACGCGAGGAGGUGGAGCAGCUGCAGAGUUACGAGCGUCAGCAGGAGGAUGGCCAGAAGGGGGGCGAGAGCAAGGGAAGCGGCUCCAAGGCAAUGACGCCCCAACAGUUCCGCGAGCAGGUAGAGCGUCUUAACCGCGAGGACAUCAAACAGCUGCGCAAGGAGCGCGAUAGAUUGCUGGACAAGCUGGCCGAAAUGGAGGCUGAGACUCUGACGGGGCGCAUCAAGGCGGCGAAGAUGAGCGACCAGGUGGAGGAGCUGAUCGGCGUUAAGAAGGAUCUCGAGGAGCAGCUGAAGCUGGCCAUGGCGCAAAAGUUAGAGCUGAGCUCGCGGGUGCAGCAACUGCAACAGAUGCAGCAGCAACAAAGCAAGAGCUCUUCCAGCGCCAGUCAGUCGGAUUUCUCCAGUCAACGCAACUUUCUAUCCUCAGCCACCACGGUGCUCUCCAAUGGCAGUCGCCAAUCGGCUGGCAAUAGCAACACCAACAGCCACAUCCACAACACAUUCCAGCCGGUCGUCCUUGAUCAGCCAGCGCAGGAAGCAUUCCAUCAAAGCUCCAGCAGUGAUAUAGCAACCUUGAAGAAACAGCAGCAGCAGCAACAGCAGCAGUCCUUGGGUCGCCUCGAUGGCAUUGUUAGCACGCCGGGGGCGCGCAACUCCAAAUGCCGGCUAACAGAUUCCAAGCGCUUUGCGGCCAUUCUGCUGGAGACGAAUGUGCUGGAGCUGCAGCGACACCUGCUCACUCUGUCCGUUCAGAACCAAGUGCUGGCCCAGAAGCUGGAGUCGUCCAGCAAGUCCAAGACGCAGCUGACCAAGCGGCUGGACAAGAGCUUCGAGGAUUCCGAGCAUCUGCGCUAUCAGUUGGAGGAGAAAAACAUCGAGUUGGAGGGCACCAAGGCGCAGCUGCGCCUCGUGGAAUCACGCCUCCAGGCGAGCAAUAGCACCACCAAUUCGUAUUUGAACUCCUCCCAGCAUGAUUACGAGACGAAUCGCUCAUCGGCUUCCACCACUCUGAUGUUGAGUCGUCGCGGAGUCUCGGAUUCGGUGGACUCCACAUCGACGGCCAUGCCUGCCCCGCCAGUUACGCAAAUCAGCACGCCCAGCAUGAAGGCCAUGGUGCCGCUGGCCAUGGAUGAACUUCAGCAGCACAGCAGCAGUACAGAGUCGGCGCAUGAGCACGAGAAUCAGCAACAGCAGCAGCAGCAAAAGCAGCAGCAAGGCAUGCGAACGCCGAACUCCACACUGAGCAAGACGAUCACUGCGAGUCCUUGUCCCGUGGGUAGCAGCACACCCAGUAGUAUUGCUGCCCGUGUGAUGAGCACCAGUGUGGGCGGAGUGAGUCCGUUUGACUCCUCAAGCACCACCGGGCGGCAAAGUGCGUUCCGCAAGUUUAACAGCAACAGCAAGCCCAGCAAGAUCCCACUUCCGGGUAGCAAAGCGGCAGCUUAUUUUACGGGCAAACCACCAACCGGCAGACCUGCGACGGCGGGACGAUCGCCCCCAUCGGCGCACAACUCCAGUAGCACCUCAUACGGCAGCAAAUCCUCGCUAAGCCGAAGCACCGGCAAUCUGCAGAGCUUGAGGAGAGCGGACACAUCCGCCUCGAACCAUUCGCUGAGCACCAAUACGAGUCGGAGCUCAACCUCGUCUUCGAUUCCACUGGCCACCACACCCUAUUCAUCCGGAUCGACUGGCGGUAAUCGCAGCCAGCCGACCGGUGCAACAACUCCGUCCCCGCGUGUGCUCCAGAAUUCGCCGCUACCGAAGCUGAAACGGGAUACGAUCAGUUCGCGAGUGCGCCACUUAGACUCGCUGUCGAGGGAGGGCGGAGGAAAAGGCGGCAUCACUGGCGGCUCCAUUGCCGCCCAGCUAAGUUCGACGCUGCGCAAGGAUCUCCAGCUGAGCGGGAACUCCGCCGCGGGUGCACCGUACCACCACAGACGCAGUGCCCAUUCGCCGGCAUCCAAUUCGUCGGCCAGUGAACGGGGCCCGGCGCUGGGCGUGUCCAGGCGGUACAGUAGCGCCUCGACGGGGGGCAACGCUGGGCGAACGAUCGGGAGGGAUCAGGGCGAUACUCUGGGGCUAGCCACAACGCCCACAUCCAGCUUUGGCGACAGUGAUAGUGGCAAGCCCAAAAUGUAACUAAAACCAUUGUGAAAACAGAAAACAAACCACUACUCUUCCUAACAAAAACACAGAGAAUAUAACCGGAGUUGGUAUGGAAUGGCAGAUGUAUGAGGACUUGAGGUGGUGAACUGAUUGAUUGAUUGACUGAUUGAGUGAUAUGUUGGUGGUAAAAGCAAAACAAUUUCGACUGCAUGCAAAACAUAAAAAGAACAACUGCGACUGGAGUUUUUGGUAUCGGACAGCCACAGAUAAACUAGCGAUGGCCAAACUAUAAUAAGGAUCCUUACCAGCGCCCUCGCCCAGUUCAUCCUUACCAGCUAAGAUCAGCUCAGCUCAGCCUUGAAAUGAAAACAAUAAAUAAAAUAUAUACAUAAUAUAUAACUCAGCUCAGCCAAAGCUCAGACAUCAGUCCCGAGCGUGUUAUGUUGUAUAUUGUUUGUCUGUUUUGUUUUCGCCAAAAAGCGCAGAGACAAUGCAGUAGACACUUUGCCGCCAUUCGUUAUACGCUAUUUGGCCAACCCACCCGUUGAAAAGCCAAAUUUCCGUCCCCAUAACCAAAAUUGGCAAAUCUGGCAAACGAAUACGAUUGACGAG
This 4760-nucleotide unclassified non-coding RNA is filed under the name Drosophila ananassae. RNAcentral describes it as "GF16890". Lineage: Eukaryota; Metazoa; Arthropoda; Insecta; Diptera; Drosophilidae. The record is from RNAcentral.